This 518-nucleotide ribosomal RNA is filed under the name uncultured marine bacterium. RNAcentral's name for it is "bacterial SSU rRNA". It matches the Rfam family "Bacterial small subunit ribosomal RNA", at positions 30 to 526 of the family's 1533-position model. The record is from RNAcentral.
UUGAACGCUGGCGGCAGGCCUAACACAUGCAAGUCGAGCGGAAACGACAUUAUUGAAUCUUCGGAGGAUUUAAUGGGCGUCGAGCGGCGGACGGGUGAGUNAUGCCUAGGAAAUUGCCUUGAUGUGGGGGAUAACCAUUGGAAACGAUGGCUAAUACCGCAUAAUGCCUACGGGCCAAAGAGGGGGACCUUCGGGCCUCUCGCGUCAAGAUAUGCCUAGGUGGGAUUAGCUAGUUGGUGAGGUAAUGGCUCACCAAGGCGACGAUCCCUAGCUGGUCUGAGAGGAUGAUCAGCCACACUGGAACUGAGACACGGUCCAGACUCCUACGGGAGGCAGCAGUGGGGAAUAUUGAACAAUGGGCGAAAGCCUGAUGCAGCCAUGCCGCGUGUAUGAAGAAGGCCUUCGGGUUGUAAAGUACUUUCAGUUGUGAGGAAGGGUGUGUAGUUAAUAGCUGCGCAUCUUGACGUUAGCAACAGAAGAAGCACCGGCUAACUCCGUGCCAGCAGCCGCGGUAAUAC